This 497-nucleotide ribosomal RNA is filed under the name uncultured bacterium. RNAcentral's name for it is "partial 16S ribosomal RNA". It matches the Rfam family "Bacterial small subunit ribosomal RNA", at positions 28 to 507 of the family's 1533-position model. The record is from RNAcentral.
GACGAACGCUGGCGGCGUGCCUAAUACAUGCAAGUUGAGCGCUGAAGGUUGGUACUUGUACCAACUGGAUGAGCAGCGCACGGGUGAGUAACGCGUGGGGAAUCUGCCUUUGAGCGGGGGACAACAUUUGGAAACGAAUGCUAAUACCGCAUAAAAACUUUAAACACAAGUUUUAAGUUUGAAAGAUGCAAUUGCAUCACUCAAAGAUGAUCCCGCGUUGUAUUAGCUAGUUGGUGAGGUAAAGGCUCACCAAGGCGAUGAUACAUAGCCGACCUGAGAGGGUGAUCGGCCACAUUGGGACUGAGACACGGCCCAAACUCAUACGGGAGGCAGCAGGAGGGAAUCUUCGGGAAUGGACGAAAGUCUGACCGAGCAACGCCGAGGGAGGGAAGAAGGUUGUCGGAUCGGAAAACUCUGUUGGUAGAGAAGAACGUGGGUGAGAGUGGAAAGCUCAUCAAGUGACGGUAACUACCCAGAAAGGGACGGCUAACUACGUG